RNAcentral lists this ribosomal RNA (557 nucleotides) under Xylaria nigripes. Its description in RNAcentral is "eukaryotic LSU rRNA". The stretch from base 189 to 340 matches the Rfam family "5.8S ribosomal RNA". The record is from RNAcentral. Lineage: Eukaryota; Fungi; Ascomycota; Sordariomycetes; Xylariales; Xylariaceae.
UCCGUAGGUGAACCUGCGGAGGGAUCAUUAAAGAGUUAAAACAACUCCCAAACCCUGUGAACGUACCUCUUGUUGCCUCGGCAGGGCGCGAGGGCCCGGCGCGAGCCGAGCACUCGCGCGUCACCUGCCGGCGGCUCACGAAAACUAUGUUUAUUAUUGACUUCUGAACAAACAACUUAAUAAGUUAAAACUUUCAACAACGGAUCUCUUGGUUCUGGCAUCGAUGAAGAACAGCGAAAUGCGAUAAGUAAUGUGAAUUGCAGAAUUCAGUGAAUCAUCGAAUCUUUGAACGCACAUUGCGCCCACUAGUAUUCUGGUGGGCAUGCCUGUUCGAGCGUCAUUUCAACCCUUAAGCCCUCGUUGCUUAGUGUUGGGAGACUACGGCAUCGUAGCUCCCCAAAGUCAGUGGCGGAGCCGGUUUCACGCUCUAGACGUAGUAGAUUUAUCUCGUCUGCAGCUGGGCCGGUCCCCUGCCGUAAAACACACCAAUUUUUAAAGGUUGACCUCGGAUCAGGUAGGAAUACCCGCUGAACUUAAGCAUAUCAAUAAGCGGAGGA